UACGAAGGGUGCAAACGUUGCUCGGAAUCAUUGGGCGUAAAGCGCACGUAGGCGGCCUUGCAAGUCGGAUGUGAAAUCCCACGGCUCAACCGUGGACGUGCAUCCGAAACUGCUCGGCUCGAGUAUGGAAGAGGGUCGCGGAAUUCCCGGUGUAGAGGUGAAAUUCGUAGAUAUCGGGAGGAACACCAGUGGCGAAGGCGGCGACCUGGGCCAAUACUGACGCUGAGGUGCGAAAGCGUGGGGAUCAAACAGG
This 253-nucleotide ribosomal RNA is filed under the name uncultured bacterium. RNAcentral's name for it is "partial 16S ribosomal RNA". It matches the Rfam family "Bacterial small subunit ribosomal RNA", at positions 524 to 776 of the family's 1533-position model. The record is from RNAcentral.